This 718-nucleotide ribosomal RNA is filed under the name uncultured Actinomycetes bacterium. Its description in RNAcentral is "bacterial SSU rRNA". It matches the Rfam family "Bacterial small subunit ribosomal RNA", at positions 28 to 760 of the family's 1533-position model. The record is from RNAcentral. Lineage: Bacteria; Bacillati; Actinomycetota; Actinomycetes.
GACGAACGCUGGCGGCGUGCUUAACACAUGCAAGUCGAGCGGAAAGGCCCUUUCGGGGGUACUCGAGCGGCGAACGGGUGAGUAACACGUGAGUAAUCUGCCCUGCGCUCUGGGAUAGCCACCGGAAACGGUGAUUAAUACCGGAUAGGACCACUUCACGCAUGUGAUGGUGGUGGAAAGUUUUUUCGGCGCAGGAUGUGCUCGCGGCCUAUCAGCUUGUUGGUGAGGUAACGGCUCACCAAGGCUUUGACGGGUAACCGGCCUGAGAGGGUGACCGGUCACACUGGGACUGAGACACGGCCCAGACUCCUACGGGAGGCAGCAGUGGGGAAUAUUGGACAAUGGGCGGAAGCCUGAUCCAGCAACGCCGCGUGAGGGAUGACGGCCUUCGGGUUGUAAACCUCUUUCAGUACCGACGAAGCGAAAGUGACGGUAGGUACAGAAGAGGGACCGGCCAACUACGUGCCAGCAGCCGCGGUAAUACGUAGGGUCCGAGCGUUGUCCGGAAUUAUUGGGCGUAAAGGGCUCGUAGGCGGUUUGUCGCGUCGGGAGUGAAAACACCGGGCUUAACUCGGUGCUUGCUUUCGAUACGGGCAGACUAGAGGUAUGCAGGGGAGAAUGGAAUUCCUGGUGUAGCGGUGAAAUGCGCAGAUAUCAGGAGGAACACCGGUGGCGAAGGCGGUUCUCUGGGCAUUACCUGACGCUGAGGAGCGAAAGU